This 1359-nucleotide ribosomal RNA is filed under the name Pseudomonadales bacterium. RNAcentral describes it as "partial 23S ribosomal RNA". It matches the Rfam family "Bacterial large subunit ribosomal RNA", at positions 1 to 1236 of the family's 2925-position model. Lineage: Bacteria; Pseudomonadati; Pseudomonadota; Gammaproteobacteria; Pseudomonadales. The record is from RNAcentral.
GGUCAAGCAUAAAAGUGCAUCUGGUGGAUGCCUUGGCAGCUGAAGGCGAUGAAGGACGUUAUAGCCUGCGAUAAGCCUCGGGGAGUCGGCAAAUAGACUUUGAUCCGGGGAUUUCCGAAUGGGGAAACCCACCGCUCCGGCGGUAUCUGCACCUGAAUACAUAGGGUGUAGAAGCGAACUUGGGGAACUGAAAUAUCUAAGUACCCAAAGGAAAAGAAAUCAACAGAGAUUCCCUUAGUAGCGACGAGCGAAAGGGGACCAGCCCUUAAGUUUAUAUUUUGUUAGUGGAAGCACCUGGAAAGUUGCGCGAUAGAGGGUGAUAGUCCCGUACACGAAAGCAAGAUAUAGAUGAAAUCGAGUAGGACGGGGCACGUGAAACCUUGUCUGAACAUGGGGGGACCAUCCUCCAAGGCUAAAUACUCUCAGCUGACCGAUAGUGAACCAGUACCGUGAGGGAAAGGCGAAAAGAACCCCUGUGAGGGGAGUGAAAUAGAACCUGAAACCAGAUGCAUACAAGCAGUGGGAGCAUGUCUUCGGACGUGUGACUGCGUACCUUUUGUAUAAUGGGUCAGCGAGUUACUUUUUGUGGCAAGGUUAACCGUAUAGGGGAGCCGUAGGGAAACCGAGUCUUAAUAGGGCGUCUUAGUCGCAAGGAGUAGACCCGAAACCGGGCGAUCUAGCCAUGGGCAGGUUGAAGGUUGAGUAACAUCAACUGGAGGACCGAACCCACUAAUGUUGAAAAAUUAGGGGAUGACCUGUGGUUAGGAGUGAAAGGCUAAUCAAGCCCGGAGAUAGCUGGUUCUCCUCGAAAUCUAUUUAGGUAGAGCCUCUCGUAUUACCAUCGGGGGUAGAGCACUGUUUGGGCUAGGGGGUCAUCUAGACUUACCAACCCCAUGCAAACUCCGAAUACCGAUGAGUACAGCGAGGGAGACACACGGCGGGUGCUAACGUCCGUCGUGGAAAGGGAAACAACCCAGACCGCCAGCUAAGGUCCCUAAAUUACAGUUAAGUGGGAAACGAUGUGGGAAGGCCCAGACAGCCAGGAGGUUGGCUUAGAAGCAGCCAUCCUUUAAAGAAAGCGUAAUAGCUCACUGGUCGAGUCGGCCUGCGCAAAAUAGAGGCCACUAGUAAGACUUUUUUCACAACGAGAUUCCCUUAUACUGCAUGCAACCCAGUGGCGCUGACUAACUUUCUUUCUAACGACACGAUAAACACAGCCGCACAAACAAACCUAUGCUUCCAACUUUACGAGCAAACACCAUAGAAUGAGUUUCCCCACUUUACACAAGCGCCUAAUCCUUAUUACUGGUAUAGGGUUACUGAUGUUGCUCCUUAGUGGGAUCGGCGACGACAGCGAAG